AUUGAACGCUGGCGGCAGGCCUAACACAUGCAAGUCGAGCGGAUGAAGGGAGCUUGCUCCUGGAUUCAGCGGCGGACGGGUGAGUAAUGCCUAGGAAUCUGCCUGGUAGUGGGGGAUAACGUCCGGAAACGGGCGCUAAUACCGCAUACGUCCUGCGGGAGAAAGUGGGGGAUCUUCGGACCUCACGCUAUCAGAUGAGCCUAGGUCGGAUUAGCUAGUUGGUGGGGUAAAGGCCUACCAAGGCGACGAUCCGUAACUGGUCUGAGAGGAUGAUCAGUCACACUGGAACUGAGACACGGUCCAGAGUCCGACGGGAGGAAGCAGUGGGGAAUAUUGGAAAAAGGGCAGAAGACUGAUCCAGCCAUGCCGCGUGUGUGAAGAAGGUAUGCGGAUUGUAAAGCACUUUAAGUUGGGAGGAAGGGCAGUAAGUUAAUAACUUGCUGUUUUGACGUUACAAACAGAAUAAGCACAGGCUAACUUAGUG
This 484-nucleotide ribosomal RNA is filed under the name uncultured bacterium. Its description in RNAcentral is "partial 16S ribosomal RNA". It matches the Rfam family "Bacterial small subunit ribosomal RNA", at positions 30 to 507 of the family's 1533-position model. The record is from RNAcentral.